Lepus europaeus (European hare) is the source of this 386-nucleotide long non-coding RNA. RefSeq lists it as uncharacterized. The record is from RefSeq and is a predicted model, not a curated record. The transcript is spliced from 3 exons. NCBI's taxonomy places the organism in Eukaryota, Metazoa, Chordata, Mammalia, Lagomorpha, Leporidae.
CUACUAAACUUAUGCAUAAGAAACUAAAACUGUGUUACUGCUUUUAAUUAUUUUAGGUAGUUCAUAUUCCAAGAUGAAAGACAAAAAGAAGAGAAAAAGGAGGUGUCUGUGGACAACAUUUGGAGGAAAUAUUGCAAGCUUGGUGAUCAUCAUUUUAUGGAGCACAACCUUUCUUCAUUCAGGAACGUGCAACUUCAGGAUGGCCAAAGACAAGACAGUGACCUUGGAGAAGGAUAGUUUUCCAACUAUUUGGGCUUGGUUGGAGAGAUCCACCCUAUGAUAGCAGUAAUCAAGGAAUACCUAUGUCUGUCCUAAGGUAUCAUAUGUAAAGCAUUUCAAGUUACCUUUUGAGGAGGAGCAGAUGAGCAGAUGUACUUGGGACGGUC